RNAcentral lists this ribosomal RNA (323 nucleotides) under uncultured eukaryote. RNAcentral describes it as "partial 18S ribosomal RNA". It matches the Rfam family "Eukaryotic small subunit ribosomal RNA", at positions 1470 to 1796 of the family's 1831-position model. The record is from RNAcentral.
CCCUUAGAUGUUCUGGGCUGCACGCGUGCUACACUGAUAUUGCCAAUAUGUCAUUCUUAUCCGAAAUGGAUUGGGUAAUCAAGUAAUGAAAUUUCAUGCUUGGAAUCGGUAAUUGCAAUUUUAUCGUGAACGAGGAAUUCCUAGUAAGCACUAGUCAUCAGCUAAUGUUGAUUAUGUCCCUGCCCUUUGUACACACCGCCCGUCGCUACUACUGAUUGGGUGUUCAAGUGAGAUGCUUAGACCCUUGUUGCAUGGUUCAUUAUUGUGCUCCGAAAGGAAAAAGUUUCAAGCUUGCGUGUCUAGAGGAAGUAAAAGUCGUAACA